Molecule: long non-coding RNA, 3031 nt
Filed under: Homo sapiens (human)
Lineage: Eukaryota; Metazoa; Chordata; Mammalia; Primates; Hominidae
Description: non-protein coding lnc-DNAAF1-1:3
Source: RNAcentral
AGCGAGCUGCCAGGCGGCGAGAACGCGCUGGGGGAACCCUUGGUCCGCUCUGCGCGUCGCUCUAGGAUCCCCGAAAAGGAGCACGGGCGCGAAAGCGGCCAGGCUGGGCCAGGAUCUAGAAAGACUGCCUGGCGCAGGCUCCCUGCCCCCGCGGGCCUGCUGUCAUGGACUCGUGGAGAGCUCGCUUCCCGCGCGGACCCUUCCUGCAGGGGUCCACGUCCAGGCACCGGCGGCUCGGACACCCCACCCCCGGCCGGGCACCUGCCCUGGGUGCCCCUUAACCCGGGCGGUAGCUCGUUAAGAUGGCGAAGUGUCCGGUCCGGAACACGCGAAACCCCAAAUCCCGCCUGCCCGACCUCCUGACCCCCGGCCCCACGGGACGACAGACUGGGCCUCCCGACGCGCAGCGCGCUGCCGGGACACCGGUGCGUGCGAAACGGAGGACCUUUGUAACGCCACGUGUUUGCUCUUUUUGAAAAAACAAGAAUAAAUGUGUUAAACUGUCUGAAAAGCUUGCCGCCUAAAAGAUGUCUGGGUGACUUAGAUGCUAGGAUCAGUUUGUUUUCAAUGUAAAUGGACCAGCCCGGACUCCGUACGGCACUAGCAGGGGACUGAAAGCGUCUUCAGGUACUGCUGGUGGGCGGUGAUGCGCUACAGGCCGAUCAGACAGUUUUGUGUCUUUUGGAACUUGACACUGCACCACGGUAAUGCUGAACUGCACCAAUAUUACAGAUCACAGCGCAUCAUCUUCCUUCAACAUGAUUUAACACAGUUGACUUAAUAUGGUGGAUAAAUGUAGAAUCACAAAUUACCAUACCCCACCUCAGGCUUCUACUUCGUAAUUUUGAGCAGGUUGUUUAACCUCUUUGUACCUCAGCUUCUUCAUUACAAAAAUAGGGGUACUAGCCAGGCGGGGUGGCUCGCGCCUGUAAUCCCAGCACUUGGGGAGGCCGAGGCAGCCGGAUCACUUGAGGUCAGAAGUUUCAGACCAGCCUGGUCAACAUGGGUGAAACGCCGGCUCUACCAAAAAUAUAAAAACUUAGCUGAGUGUGGUAGCGCAUGACUGUAAUCCCAGCAACUCAGGAGGCUGAGGCAGAGAAUCGCUUGAACCUGGGAGGCGGAGGUUGCAGUGAGCUGAGAUCGUACCACUGCACUCCAGCUUGGGCGACAGAGCGAGACUCUGCCUUAAAAAUAAAUAAAUAAUUUUUUUAAAAAAUAGGGGUACUAAUAUCUACCUUAAAGGAUGAGGGUUAAAUUAAGUACACACAUAAGCCCUAGCGCAGUGGCUUAUGCCUGUAAUCUCAACACUUUGGGAGUCUGUGGCGGGAGGAUCACUUGAGCCCAGGAGUUUGAGACUAGUCUGGGCAACAGAGACAUGUCUCUAUAGUUGUGUUUGGUUUUGUUUUUACCAGGUGUGGUGGUGUGCACCUGCAGUCCCAGCUACUAGGGAGGCUGAGGUGGGAGGACUGCCUGAGCCCAGGAGGUCGAGGCUGCAGUGAGCCAUGAUUGUGCCACUGCACUCCAGCCUGGGCAACACAGCAAGACCUUGUCUCAAAAACAAACAAAAAGCAUACUCAUAAAGUGCUCGGCUCCUAUAUGAUUCAAUAUGUGGUGGUGGAUUCUUGAAUCCUUUCCUGACUCAGAUCUCAUACGAUUUUCUGAACUUUUGGAGAAUCCUUGCCUCUCUGCAUUUGCAAACCGUCAAAGGCACUCCCUUCUGCCACCACACAAAGCAUUUGAUUUUAAACUUGACUAUGUCCUUCUGUUCCAACUUUAGGUAAAUUAAUCUUGGUCAGGGUUCUCUGAACAGCCCUUUAGUCACUAUGCCAUUGAAUACAUGGCCCUACAGCUGGAAACUGGGGUAGAACAGUGAUUGCAGGCAUCCAUCAUGUGACAGCGAGGCCCCAAAGAAGGGGAGAGAAUGCCACCACCACCAGUUUCAGAGAAUGCCUAUACACUGAGGGGACUGGUGUGUGGGAGAGAAGUUACUUGGAGAGCUACCAAGACAGCCUGAGCUACAGGAUCCUGGUCUACCACUGGUGGAUUCCCACCACUCUGGUUCUAAAAUAACUUCCUAAACUUGUGCUUCACAUACAGAAUAAAGCAUCUGUAAUUCCAUGGGAAGGUAAAUCUUUAUUCAAAUGAAAUGUUAUUUUAAAGAGUAAUAGCUGAUGGCACAGGCACUAGCCAACCCUGGGAAAGCCUCCCUGGAGUUGUGGCUCCUGGAGUCCCAGCAGCCACUCUGCAGAGAUCUUGGAGGUCCUAGUAAACCUGCCGGUGGCACUACAGGCAGGCUGCUUUUUUGGCAAGGGUGGCUUUGCUGAGAGCAUCAAAAUCUUGGAGGCAAACACCAAGGAGGUGUUCUCGGGCAAGAUCGCACCUGAGUCACUGCUGCUCAAUCCGCACCCAGAGGAGACGUCCCUGGAGACGUCUCCAGCCUCUCGCUAUACUCACUGCAGCCUCGCCCACCAGCACAUCUCAGGUGUCAGUGGCUUUUUCAAGGACAACUUCAUGCUCCUGGUGCUGGAGCUCUGCCACCUGAGACCUCUCAUGGAGUUGCACACGGGGAGAGCGCUAAGCCUGAGGGCACUACUGCCCGCAGUAGAUCAUCCUUGGCUGCCGGCACCUGCCUGAAACUGGAUUAGUCACCGGGACCUCAAGCUGUACCCCCUCUUCCUGAAUGAUGACCUGGAGGUGAAAACGGGAAGAUCUGGACUGGCAACCAAAGUCGAACAUGAUGGAAGGCAGAGGAAGACCCUGGGUGGGACUCCUGAUUAUGUAACUCCCAGGGUGCUGGGAAAGAAAGGGCACCGUUUCAAGGUGGAUGUGUGGUCCCUUGGGUACAUCACAUAUACCUUGUUAGUGGGCAAACCACCUUCUGAAACCUCUUGUCUAAGAGACCUACCUCUGGUCAAGAACACACACACUGUUCCCAAGCACAGCUACCCAAUGGCCACCUCCCUCAUCCAGAAGAUACUUCAAAUCCGACAGCACUCCCAAACCCCUGAGAAGCUGCUGAAUAACGGGUUUU